Molecule: ribosomal RNA, 253 nt
Filed under: uncultured bacterium
Lineage: Bacteria
Description: partial 16S ribosomal RNA
Rfam family: Bacterial small subunit ribosomal RNA
Source: RNAcentral
UACGUAGGGUGCGAGCGUUACUCGGAAUUACUGGGCGUAAAGCGUGCGCAGGCGGUCCGCAAAGUCUGAUGUGAAAGCCCCGGGCUCAACCUGGGAACUGCAUUGGAAACUAACGGGCUCGAGUGUGGCAGAGGGGGGUGGAAUUCCACGUGUAGCAGUGAAAUGCGUAGAGAUGUGGAGGAACACCGAUGGCGAAGGCAGCCCCCUGGGCUAACACUGACGCUCAGGCACGAAAGCGUGGGGAGCAAACAGG